GGAGUUGUGCCUGAAUUAAAGGGGCACUUUGAUAGAGUGAAACAUGAGGGUUAAACUCCCCCCAACUCCU
Molecule: transfer RNA, 70 nt
Filed under: Acanthocepola krusensternii (red-spotted bandfish)
Lineage: Eukaryota; Metazoa; Chordata; Actinopteri; Priacanthiformes; Cepolidae (in: ray-finned fishes)
Description: tRNA-Ile
Rfam family: tRNA
About the family: Transfer RNA (tRNA) molecules are approximately 80 nucleotides in length. Their secondary structure includes four short double-helical elements and three loops (D, anti-codon, and T loops).
Source: RNAcentral